Molecule: long non-coding RNA, 567 nt
Organism: Onychostoma macrolepis
Lineage: Eukaryota; Metazoa; Chordata; Actinopteri; Cypriniformes; Cyprinidae
Exons: 5
Source: RefSeq, a predicted model, not a curated record
GGGUGAUAUCGUGCCUGCGUGUUUCUGUUUUCGCGCACUUUUGUGUGGUUGUCGAUGCUAACGUGAAGGACGAGUGGCGUCGUGCUUGAUCGAUCCAGCUUUUCUAUAAAAUUAACGUGUUUCUGAUGUUGUGCACAUUGAGUUCUUUUCAAAGCUGACGUGCCAGAUAAAUCCAGCUUUUCUAUAAAAUCACUGGUGAGUGACAUUACCAAACAUCGUAAAACAACGGCUCUUGAGGGAUUGCUACUUUUCCUGCUUGAGAAGUCAGCAAAUUUGCUCAAGAUAUGCCUGGAUACGAAUUCUGUGAACUGCUGCACCAAAGGUGUAAAGAUUGGAAUUCUGACUGUGGAGGAAGAUGAUGUUGCCGGUGUUACAUCGCAGCCCACUGUUAUCAACAUGGCCAUAAUCUUGGAGGAGGCCAUUGUGCUUGAGGACAUUAAAGAUCUUCCAUCUGCAUUUGCAUAUUUGUUUGGCCUCUUAUAUGCAUUUAACAUGGAAUAUCUGAAAGAAUUGAAGUACACUUUUGAAGUCAUCAUGGAUCUAGGUGGUACCUGCUCAGCUAGAGUG